Molecule: ribosomal RNA, 1430 nt
Filed under: Salmonella enterica subsp. enterica
Lineage: Bacteria; Pseudomonadati; Pseudomonadota; Gammaproteobacteria; Enterobacterales; Enterobacteriaceae
Description: bacterial SSU rRNA
Rfam family: Bacterial small subunit ribosomal RNA
Source: RNAcentral
AAAUUGAAGAGUUUGAUCAUGGCUCAGAUUGAACGCUGGCGGCAGGCCUAACACAUGCAAGUCGAACGGUAACAGGAAGCAGCUUGCUGCUUUGCUGACGAGUGGCGGACGGGUGAGUAAUGUCUGGGAAACUGCCUGAUGGAGGGGGAUAACUACUGGAAACGGUGGCUAAUACCGCAUAAUGUCGCAAGACCAAAGAGGGGGACCUUCGGGCCUCUUGCCAUCAGAUGUGCCCAGAUGGGAUUAGCUUGUUGGUGAGGUAACGGCUCACCAAGGCGACGAUCCCUAGCUGGUCUGAGAGGAUGACCAGCCACACUGGAACUGAGACACGGUCCAGACUCCUACGGGAGGCAGCAGUGGGGAAUAUUGCACAAUGGGCGCAAGCCUGAUGCAGCCAUGCCGCGUGUAUGAAGAAGGCCUUCGGGUUGUAAAGUACUUUCAGCGGGGAGGAAGGUGUUGCGGUUAAUAACCGCAGCAAUUGACGUUACCCGCAGAAGAAGCACCGGCUAACUCCGUGCCAGCAGCCGCGGUAAUACGGAGGGUGCAAGCGUUAAUCGGAAUUACUGGGCGUAAAGCGCACGCAGGCGGUCUGUCAAGUCGGAUGUGAAAUCCCCGGGCUCAACCUGGGAACUGCAUUCGAAACUGGCAGGCUUGAGUCUUGUAGAGGGGGGUAGAAUUCCAGGUGUAGCGGUGAAAUGCGUAGAGAUCUGGAGGAAUACCGGUGGCGAAGGCGGCCCCCUGGACAAAGACUGACGCUCAGGUGCGAAAGCGUGGGGAGCAAACAGGAUUAGAUACCCUGGUAGUCCACGCCGUAAACGAUGUCUACUUGGAGGUUGUGCCCUUGAGGCGUGGCUUCCGGAGCUAACGCGUUAAGUAGACCGCCUGGGGAGUACGGCCGCAAGGUUAAAACUCAAAUGAAUUGACGGGGGCCCGCACAAGCGGUGGAGCAUGUGGUUUAAUUCGAUGCAACGCGAAGAACCUUACCUGGUCUUGACAUCCACAGAACUUUCCAGAGAUGGAUUGGUGCCUUCGGGAACUGUGAGACAGGUGCUGCAUGGCUGUCGUCAGCUCGUGUUGUGAAAUGUUGGGUUAAGUCCCGCAACGAGCGCAACCCUUAUCCUUUGUUGCCAGCGGUCCGGCCGGGAACUCAAAGGAGACUGCCAGUGAUAAACUGGAGGAAGGUGGGGAUGACGUCAAGUCAUCAUGGCCCUUACGACCAGGGCUACACACGUGCUACAAUGGCGCAUACAAAGAGAAGCGACCUCGCGAGAGCAAGCGGACCUCAUAAAGUGCGUCGUAGUCCGGAUUGGAGUCUGCAACUCGACUCCAUGAAGUCGGAAUCGCUAGUAAUCGUGGAUCAGAAUGCCACGGUGAAUACGUUCCCGGGCCUUGUACACACCGCCCGUCACACCAUGGGAGUGGGUUGCAAA